UGGGGAAUCUUCCGCAAUGGACGAAAGUCUGACGGAGCAACGCCGCGUGAGUGAUGACGGCCUUCGGGUUGUAAAGCUCUGUUAAUCGGGACGAAAGGCUUUCUUGCGAAUAGUUAGAAGGAUUGACGGUACCGGAAUAGAAAGCCACGGCUAACUACGUGCCAGCAGCCGCGGUAAUACGUAGGUGGCAAGCGUUGUCCGGAAUUAUUGGGCGUAAAGCGCGCGCAGGCGGAUUGGUCAGUCUGUCUUAAAAGUUCGGGGCUUAACCCCGUGAAGGGGAUGGAAACUGCCAAUCUAGAGUAUCGGAGAGGAAAGUGGAAUUCCUAGUGGUAGCGGUGAAAUGCGUAGAAUAUUAGGAAGAACACCAGUGGCGAAGGCGACUUUCUGGACGAAAACUGACGCUGAGGCGCGAAAGCCAGGGGAGCGAACGGGAUUAGAUACCCCGGUAGUCCUGGCCGUAAACGAUGGGUACUAGGUGUAGGAGGUAUCGACCCCUUCUGUGCCGGAGUUAACGCAAUAAGUACCCCGCCUGGGGAGUACGACCGCAAGGUUG
RNAcentral lists this ribosomal RNA (553 nucleotides) under uncultured bacterium. Its description in RNAcentral is "bacterial SSU rRNA". It matches the Rfam family "Bacterial small subunit ribosomal RNA", at positions 355 to 896 of the family's 1533-position model. The record is from RNAcentral.